GGUGGCCGGUGUGCGCGGUGUCCAUCCGUGUUCAGCGCCGCCGUCCGUCUGUGUCUUACAGUCUGGACAGCGGUGCUCACGCCACACCCACAGCCACAGAGACACUGGAGAUCAUAGUACUGGUCCAGUGAUGUCUUACAGACUGCUCACCACUGACCAGCCUCCAAACUCUCCUACAAGC
Anguilla rostrata (American eel) is the source of this 181-nucleotide small nucleolar RNA. RefSeq annotates it as small nucleolar RNA SNORA23. The record is from RefSeq and is a predicted model, not a curated record. NCBI's taxonomy places the organism in Eukaryota, Metazoa, Chordata, Actinopteri, Anguilliformes, Anguillidae. The transcript has a single exon.